RNAcentral lists this unclassified non-coding RNA (498 nucleotides) under uncultured Glomus. RNAcentral's name for it is "bacterial SSU rRNA". It matches the Rfam family "Eukaryotic small subunit ribosomal RNA", at positions 569 to 1068 of the family's 1831-position model. Lineage: Eukaryota; Fungi; Glomeromycota; Glomeromycetes; Glomerales; Glomeraceae. The record is from RNAcentral.
AGCAGCCGCGGUAAUUCCAGCUCCAAUAGCGUAUAUUAAAGUUGUUGCAGUUAAAAAGCUCGUAGUUGAACUUCAGGCCUGUCCAGAUGGUCCGCCUUAAUUGGUGUGUACUGUCCUUGGGUGGGUCCUACCUUCUGGCGAAGCGGCAUGGCCUUAGUUGGUUGUGUCGGGGAACCAGGACUUUUACUGUGAAAAAAUUAGAGUGUUCAAAGCAGGCAAAUAUGCUCGAAUACAUUAGCAUGGAAUAAUGGAAUAGGACGAUGGUUCUAUUUUGUUGGUUCUAGGACCGUUGUAAUGAUUAAUAGGGAUAGUUGGGGGCAUUAGUAUUCAAUUGUCAGAGGUGAAAUUCUUGGAUUUAUUGAAGACUAACUACUGCGAAAGCAUUUGCCAAGGAUGUUUUCAUUAAUCAAGAACGAAAGUUAGGGGAUCGAAGACGAUCAGAUACCGUCGUAGUCUUAACCAUAAACUAUGCCGACUAGGAAUCGGGCGAUGUUGACA